ACAUACCUGCGAUGCCCGUAUACUCAUGUUGUCUUAAACCUUUGAGUGUUAAUCGGGAGUUCAAUAUCAAGCUGCAGAUAACAUGCCCGCUCCUUAGUGGGACGUUAAAACCGGCUGUGCGAACACCCACCUAGUCGAUCUGGGUGAUUAAGACACUUCGGGUUACGACAGAGCGGGAUGUC
Molecule: non-coding RNA, 182 nt
Filed under: Priestia iocasae
Lineage: Bacteria; Bacillati; Bacillota; Bacilli; Caryophanales; Bacillaceae
Description: 6S RNA
Rfam family: 6S / SsrS RNA
About the family: E. coli 6S RNA was the first non coding RNA to be sequenced, but its function was unknown until recently. It consists of 184 nucleotides that fold into an extended hairpin structure with a large single-stranded internal bulge.
Source: RNAcentral